Molecule: RNA transcript, 2852 nt
Organism: Alnus glutinosa
Lineage: Eukaryota; Viridiplantae; Streptophyta; Magnoliopsida; Fagales; Betulaceae
Exons: 17
Source: RefSeq, a predicted model, not a curated record
CUUAUUGUGUUUCUCUCUUCGUAUGCAAAGCAAAGAACCUGCGAAUACCAAAACAGUAGUCUAUCUGUCCUCCAAAGACUGAGAAAGAGAGACUCCGAGGCGCAGAGAACGAAGCUUCAGCGAAAUGGCCGAGAAGGGUGCAGAGGAAGCGGCCGUGGGCGUCUCCGUACCCGAAGGCGCCUCCAUUGCCUCCGGCGAGAACAUGGUCUGGACUGACGUGUCACUCCUCCUCGAAGCCGCAUGCAAAGAUCUUCGAGAUGGUGAGCUCGUUCAUGGAGAUAAUUUCAAUCUUUUUGCUGCCAUGUCUGCUUUGGAGAUAAUGGACCCGAAGAUGGAUUCCGGUAUGGUUUGUAAAUACUACUCUGUUGAUGAAGCCAUUGAGAAUGGUGCUGCUCCAGUCCCUAUUAGCUUUUACAAAACUGUUGAUGUUCAAUGCACCAUUGACAUAAUGGAUUAUCUUCUAGCAUGUGAGGCUACGUGGCACAAGGGUCACUCAUUGGCACAAACCGUCUUCUCUUGUAUCUAUCUUUUGAGGCCUGAUAGGACAUCUUCACACGCCUUGCUUCAUUCUUACUGCAGAGUCAUUCGUGCAACCUGCAAGGCAGUUAUUUCAGUUGUCUCAGAUGCACGUACACAUGAAGAAGAGGAUCUAUUUACAAUGGCUUACGGCCUUCCUUUGGAUGGGGAUAGAGAUGAAAAGUGCUUAUCAUUGCUAAAUGCUGUUGAAGAAACAAUUUCUCGCCAAUUGCGUGCUUGCAAAGCCCACUCAUCAAAAAGAAGAGUGCUAGAAGAUAUAGAGCCAUUACAAGCAAAUGUUGAUCUGGAAGAAGGCUACUGCAAAGCCUUGUUAUGCCGUUUACGCUUUCGUAAGCAUUUUUACCAUGUUCUUACGUCUAUGAGGCGGCCUCAAGGGAGAGGUUUGGAGUUGGCGAGGAAACACAUAGCCGCCUGCAUAUCAGAGCUAGAAUGCAUUCUUAAAUCGUCAGAAUUUCUUAGAUCUAUUGCCAGUGGAGCUUGUGAUGAUGACACAGAAGAUAGAACUACUGCUUCAGGUUGUCAACCAAUUGGAUUUGAUGCUAGCUUAAAUUGUAGAUUAUCUGCUCCUACACCACCUCGCACGAUUAAAAUUCUUUCUUGGAAAAAGGCCAUUGAAUAUUUUGUGAAACUUCUUCAUGAUCUAGACAUUAUAUGUUCCUACUCGUUGGACCCAUUGUUAGAAGGUGUUUUGCACUUUGUGGUUCAGUUCCAAAAAUCUCAACCUGAUUUGGUUGCAAGAGCUCAUCUCCAGCUUCUGCUUGUUCAAGAUGGGAAACUGUAUGGGCGGGAUUCUAUGUUUGCUGUGAUCACUAGAGCUGCAGCAUUGCCCGAGGUUACGAAGAAUCAUGAUAUUCAGAAUAAUGAAUAUGUUGGACAACUAGGACAGUUAGUGCUUAAUACGCUCAAAAUUCUUUGUACAAAUUCUGCAUGGCAGAGGCGUAAGCUAGGGAAAAUGCUACAAGAUUGGCGUGUUAUCUAUGUACAGCUAGAGCUGGCAUUUAGAAAGGAUUUUGGAGACAUCUUGAACAGUCCGGAUGACGAGAAUGUAUAUAUGAAAAUUUUCCAACAUAUCCUCCUUUGGGUAGAGGAGCAAACAUACUGGAUAGCUUCCCGUUUUCUUUUAUUGGGUUUUGAGUUGGAGCUCUAUUCCCCAAGUGAAUAUUGCAUGGUAUACUGGUAUAUGUAUGUUGUCUUGAUCAAGCUUGCAGAAAAAACACAUCUUAAGGUGGCAGCGAGGAAUGACACUAAUAAACGAAAGGGAAAGAAAAAAAGGGAUUCCCUGAAGGAAGUGCCAAGAGAAUAUCGAAUCCCACCAGCAGUUCUUUUUGUUCAAUGCCAAAUUUAUCUCGUUGAAGGGCUCACAAUGAUGCUUGCUGCUUUGAGGAAUGAAAACAUGAUCUUACAGAGUCCAAAUCCUUUUAAUACAGAGCAAGAGAGAUUUAUUCAGAACUUUGAACUUUUGCAAAAAGCUUGUGUUCCUGAUCACAUCUCAUACCCUGCAUUCAAGGAAUCGACGACAUAUGCUCGCAUCUCUACCCUGGUUAUGUAUAAUUACUUUAAAGAUGCUCAGAGAAUUGCAAAGGAGGUCAAGAGUAGUUUUUCCAAUGACCCAGACAAAUUGGCCGAACUCAGAAGGAUAGAGCAAGUGGCAGAGCACAAUAGCAUUGCCUUAAAUGUCAUUUCUCAGGUAGGAGCCCUCGACCCUACACUGAAGGUUUCUUUUGAAUUCAGCCACCAUCCUUACUUCGCUACUGCCGUCGUCAAGAGAUCUUGAAGGUGCCCUCUAUUGAUAUCCACCAAUUUUGAAACACUUCACACAGGAUUCAGAGGCAACUGGGUCAUGCGGAGCAAAAAUCCAAUCUGAGGAAAGACUGGCUCUAUUGAUGGCUUCGGGGAUAAUGAGCGAGUCCCUUUCUAGAAUAAGGAAUUUCUGCUAAUUUAACUACUAGCAUGGCAACAUGAGCUUCCUCAACAUUUGCUUCCACUAGAGGAAGCUGUCUUUAGGCAGCCAAGAUGAUGUUCCCCUUGGAGUCACAAAGAACUGCUGCUACAACUGCCAUAUUGAGUCCAGGUGUGUAAACUGCACUAUGUGGGCGAAUAAUACCCUUAUUUCGCAUUUGCAUUUUGCUGAGAGCAAAUUUUAGUAACCACAUCGGCACUUUGUGGAAUCCGCUCUUAACCACACUCGUGCAUGCGGUUUUUUUGUACUAACAGCUUGUGACAUCCGCUUUGCAUUUUGAGCUUCUUUUUUAACUAUGAACUUAAUUUUUAUGGCCUUGUUUUUUAAAAAGGUUUUUAAGAUGGGUUUAAUCCAA